RNAcentral lists this ribosomal RNA (269 nucleotides) under uncultured Planctomycetales bacterium. Its description in RNAcentral is "partial 16S ribosomal RNA". It matches the Rfam family "Bacterial small subunit ribosomal RNA", at positions 565 to 832 of the family's 1533-position model. Lineage: Bacteria; Pseudomonadati; Planctomycetota; Planctomycetia; Planctomycetales. The record is from RNAcentral.
GAGCACGUAGGUGGGUUUGUAAGUCAGAUGUGAAAGCCUUCUGUUCAACGGAAGAAUUGCAUCUGAAACUGCGAGUCUUGAGUGUAGGAGGGGAGAAUGGAACUUCCGGUGGAGCGGUGAAAUGCGUAGAUAUCAGAAGGAACUCCGGCGGCGAAAGCGAUUCUCUGGCCUAUUACUGACACUCAGUAUGCGAAAGCUAGGGGAGCAAACGGGAUUAGAUACCCCGGUAGUCCUAGCCGUAAACGAUGGGCACUAAGUAGAGGGGUUUU